This 204-nucleotide long non-coding RNA is filed under the name Lathyrus oleraceus (garden pea). Its description in RNAcentral is "Pisum sativum (pea) long non-coding RNA (PSAT_LNC018340)". The record is from RNAcentral. Lineage: Eukaryota; Viridiplantae; Streptophyta; Magnoliopsida; Fabales; Fabaceae.
UUUUUUUCUUUUUCUUUUUUUCAAUUCUUUUUCAUUGCGUAUCUUUUGAAAAUAAACAUGCUAUGAUGCAAAUGAUGCAGACAAGACUGGCAGGCUGUGUAUCUCGGAACACAGGAUCGAAGCUUCGACUUGAACUUGGAACCACAAUUCAUCUGAAACCCAAAGUCAUCUGAUAAACUGUUAUCUGAAGAACCAAGAGUCACC